UACUCUUCAGUGUUAUAUUACGUUUACUUUAGCCUUUCCCUCUUUUAACCUUUCCCUUUUUCUACUAGUUCAAAUUCAACGAAGCUUCAUUUUUUUUCCUUUAGGUGACGGACGGGAAGAGGAGAAAGAAUGAGACGGGGCGAGAAGGGACGGGAGGCGGCCGAUACGUAGAAAGAAUAGGUAGACUCGUGUCCCUCGCCUUUCACAGACCAUUGUCCAGCGCCUCUGCCGGAAACUCUAAGGUUACCCCGAGCAGAGGAAAGAAAAUAAGGAAGAUGACGUUGGACUAAAAAGGAAAUUGCUGCCAAACGCUCUUAUUGGCAGAUCAAUGGUCCGAGUUUUGAGGCGUCCAGUGGGGAAGGGAAAAAUCGUGUGCAGUGUUGGUGUUGGUGAGGUGGCAGCCGUGCCCUUACCCUGGCGGUGACGAAGAACACCAAACCUUCACCUGGCCUCACCUGCUCAUCACCACCACCACCUCACGAUGAUUAAUGGCGCUGCGGAGCCAAAGUAUUGUCUCCCUCGGUGGCGCUCACUCACCCGUUAAUAGAAGUCUGCGUCAUGAAGAGGCCGAGAAAAGCCUUGGCGAUGCUGUGCCACACCUGCGUCACCAGCCACUCAGACUGUUCGAAGCAG
Long non-coding RNA from Portunus trituberculatus (swimming crab), 633 nucleotides. RefSeq lists it as uncharacterized. Lineage: Eukaryota; Metazoa; Arthropoda; Malacostraca; Decapoda; Portunidae. The transcript has 3 exons. The record is from RefSeq and is a predicted model, not a curated record.